Molecule: non-coding RNA, 126 nt
Organism: Acanthosepion pharaonis
Lineage: Eukaryota; Metazoa; Mollusca; Cephalopoda; Sepiida; Sepiidae
Source: the annotation of a GenBank genome assembly
UUACGGCCAUAUCAUGUUGAGAACACCGGUUCUCGUACGAUCACUGAAGUUAAGACGAUAAGCAAUGUUGAGCCUGCUCAAUAGUUAGAUGAGUGACCGCUGGAAAUACCAGACCUGGUGCUGCAA